RNAcentral lists this long non-coding RNA (497 nucleotides) under Salmo salar (Atlantic salmon). RNAcentral describes it as "lncRNA (ENSSSAG00000082348.1, ENSSSAG00075049971.1)". Lineage: Eukaryota; Metazoa; Chordata; Actinopteri; Salmoniformes; Salmonidae. The record is from RNAcentral.
CAUUGAACCAACACACCUCUCUAAUGUCAAUGUCAUCCUGAAUCUCCUCCAUAAGUCCACUCCACCAUCAGUCCCCCACUGGACUGCCACAUGUCCGGAGGCCAUUCAACAGCUAAAAUCCCAUCUGGAAACUUCUGGCGUGCAUUGCCUUCAUAUGUACCUAUUUUGUACCACCCAUGGCUGGCAAGCCCACGUGACACCUGGACUGCAUGUGAAGAAUGAGCUCUCAUGCUGUGGGGACUAAUGCAAUGCAGGGCUCUAUGCUGACAUUUGUUUCAAGGACCACAAUGACAAAUAUUUGAGUUAAUGAGGCUAACCAUGUUGAAGGAUACCAGAUCUGACUUCUACAGCUACAUGCCGUCAUGAAAUGGAUGAGUGCAAGCCCUAGCCUUGUAAUGAAGUGCAACUCCCCUACGGACUCAGGAGAGGCACGCAUCCUCCGAAACACAACCCUGCCAAACCACACUGCUUCUUGACACACUGCUCGCUUAACCCGG